Molecule: long non-coding RNA, 239 nt
Organism: Ochotona curzoniae (black-lipped pika)
Lineage: Eukaryota; Metazoa; Chordata; Mammalia; Lagomorpha; Ochotonidae
Exons: 3
Source: RefSeq, a predicted model, not a curated record
AUGCCUUGAAUAUAUGAUAAAUUUUCACUUUUGCUUUAAGGUACGUGAUGAUCGAGGAAAACUGCCAGAUAGAUCAAAAGACUGAUGUGUCACUUGUGGAUGAAGAUCGUAACUAUAGAAGAAAAGAAAUCUUGAUCUAUAGAAAGAGAGUUGAAGAUCUUGAACAAGAAUUAGAUAGAACCAUUCGUAAUUCUCAAAGAUUGAUACUUUCUUAUGAGAAAGAAGCACAUAUCAAUUGG